UACGUAGGGACCAAGCGUUGUUCGGAUUUACUGAGCGUAAAGGGCGCGUAGGCGGCAUGACAAGUCACUUGUGAAAUCUCUGGGCUUAACCCAGAACGGCCAAGUGAUACUGUCGCGCUAGAGUGCGGAAGGGGCAAUCGGAAUUCUCGGUGUAGCGGUGAAAUGCGUAGAUAUCGAGAGGAACACCUGAGGUGAAGACGGGUUGCUGGGCCGACACUGACGCUGAGUGCGCGAAAGCCAGGGGAGCAAACGGG
This 254-nucleotide ribosomal RNA is filed under the name uncultured bacterium. RNAcentral describes it as "partial 16S ribosomal RNA". It matches the Rfam family "Bacterial small subunit ribosomal RNA", at positions 524 to 776 of the family's 1533-position model. The record is from RNAcentral.